Sinocyclocheilus grahami is the source of this 399-nucleotide non-coding RNA. The record is from the annotation of a RefSeq genome assembly. Lineage: Eukaryota; Metazoa; Chordata; Actinopteri; Cypriniformes; Cyprinidae.
CUUCAGCGCUCCGAGUGUUUAUAGCGUUCAGACUCCAACACUUUAUAACACACUGCUGUUUACCACGGUACAAAACCAACAAACACAAUGAAUCUCUUCAGCAGCUUCAUCUGGAUUCUGGCAGCUUUUAUUCCAGCAUCCAGAGGAAUCACUGUGACUCAGCCUGAAGCUGUGACUGUUUCUGAAGGACAAGACGCCACUAUAGAGUGUAAAACUGAUCCUGAAAUAAGUGGCUGGGGUUUAGCUUGGUAUCAGCAGAAACCUGGAGAAACUCCUAAACUCAUCAUUACUGGAGUAAAUGAUCUCUAUGAUGAGAGUUUCAGUCGAUUCAGUGGGAAUGGAGCACGAGGUGGAACUGAUUUCACUCUGACCAUCAGUGGAGUCCAGACGGUUUGGUGA